RNAcentral lists this ribosomal RNA (573 nucleotides) under Kraftalia yaeyamensis. RNAcentral's name for it is "SSU rRNA". The record is from RNAcentral. Lineage: Eukaryota; Viridiplantae; Chlorophyta; Ulvophyceae; Bryopsidales; Halimedaceae.
GUGCCAGCAUCUGCGGUAAUUCCAGCUCCAAUAGCGUAUAUGUAAAUUGUUGCGGUUGAAAAGCUCGUAGUUGGACUUCUGGCGACUGAGUUCGGUCCGCCUAGAGCGAGUACUGAAUUCGGUCGUCGUUUUUGUCGAUGUGGUUCGUCGGACUUCACUGGCUGGCGUUCUCCAAUCGACAGGGUUACUUUGAGGAAAUCAGAGUGCUCAARGCAAGCGCACGCUCGUGACUUCACUAGCAUGGAAUAACACAGAUGGGCUCUUUUUCGCAACGUUGGUCUGCGUCAAUUGAGCAACGAUCGAUAGAGACGGUCGGGGGCAUUCGUAUUGCGCAGUUAGAGGUGAAAUUCUCCGAUCUGCGCAAGACGCACUAGUGCGAAAGCAGUUGCCAAGGACGUCCUCUUAUGAUCAAGAGCGAAAGUCGGGGGAUCAAAGAUGAUUAGAUACCGUCGUAGUCCCGACCAUAAAUGAUGCCGACUGAGCGUCGGCGACUCGGCCAUUGGCUGUACGUCGGCGCUCUUGAGAGAAAUUAAAGUCUUUGGGCUCCGGGGGUAGUAUGGUCGCAAGGCUGAA